This 425-nucleotide ribosomal RNA is filed under the name uncultured bacterium. RNAcentral describes it as "bacterial SSU rRNA". It matches the Rfam family "Bacterial small subunit ribosomal RNA", at positions 355 to 776 of the family's 1533-position model. The record is from RNAcentral.
UGAGGAAUAUUGGUCAAUGGACGCAAGUCUGAACCAGCCAAGUAGCGUGAAGGAUGACUGCCCUCUGGGUUGUAAACUUCUUUUAUACGGGAAUAACAUGAGGUACGCGUACCUUAUUGCAUGUACCGUUAUGAAUAAGCAUCGGCUAACUCCGUGCCAGCAGCCGCGGUAAUACGGAGGAUGCGAGCGUUAUCCGGAUUUAUUGGGUUUAAAGGGAGCGUAGGUGGGAUAUUAAGUCAGCUGUGAAAGUUUGGGGCUCAACCUUAAAAUUGCAGUUGAUACUGGUUUCCUUGAGUACGGUACAGGUGGGCGGAAUUCGUGGUGUAGCGGUGAAAUGCUUAGAUAUCACGAAGAACUCCGAUCGCGAAGGCAGCUCACCGGGCCGGAACUGACACUGAUGCUCGAAAGUGCGGGUAUCAAACAGG